AUUGAACGCUGGCGGAAUGCUUUACACAUGCAAGUCGAACGGCAGCACGGACUUCGGUCUGGUGGCGAGUGGCGAACGGGUGAGUAAUGUAUCGGAACGUGCCCAGUCGUGGGGGAUAACGUAGUGAAAAUUACGCUAAUACCGCAUACGAUCUAUGGAUGAAAGCGGGGGAUCGCAAGACCUCGCGCGAUUGGAGCGGCCGAUAUCAGAUUAGGUAGUUGGUGGGGUAAAGGCCCACCAAGCCAACGAUCUGUAGCUGGUCUGAGAGGACGACCAGCCACACUGGAACUGAGACACGGUCCAGACUCCUACGGGAGGCAGCAGGGGGGAAUUUUUGACAAUGGGCGAAAGCCUGAUCCAGCCAUUCCGCGUGCAGGAUGAAGGCCCUCGGGUUGUAAACUGCUUUUGUACAGAACGAAAAGGUUUCUACUAAUACUAGGAGCUCAUGACGGUACUGUAAGAAUAAGCACCGGCUAACUACGUGCCAGCAGCCGCGGUAA
RNAcentral lists this ribosomal RNA (500 nucleotides) under uncultured bacterium. RNAcentral describes it as "partial 16S ribosomal RNA". It matches the Rfam family "Bacterial small subunit ribosomal RNA", at positions 30 to 523 of the family's 1533-position model. The record is from RNAcentral.